This 406-nucleotide ribosomal RNA is filed under the name uncultured bacterium. RNAcentral describes it as "partial 16S ribosomal RNA". It matches the Rfam family "Bacterial small subunit ribosomal RNA", at positions 30 to 526 of the family's 1533-position model. The record is from RNAcentral.
AUUGAACGCUGGCGGCAGGCCUAACACAUGCAAGUCGAACGAGCGGCGGACGGGUGAGUAAUGUAUGGGAAUCUGCCUGAUAGAGGGGGAUAACUACUGGAAACGGUGGCUAAUACCGCCUACUAUCGGAUGUGCCCAUAUGGGAUUAGCUAGUAGGUGGGGUAAAGGCUCACCUAGGCGACGAUCGCUAGCUGGUCUGAGAGGAUGACCAGCCACACUGGAACUGAGACACGGUCCAGACUCCUACGGGAGGCAGCAGUGGGGAAUAUUGCACAAUGGGCGCAAGCCUGAUGCAGCCAUGCCGAGUGUAUGAAGAAGGCCUUAGGGUUGUAAAGUACUUUCAGCGGGGAGGCGUUACCCGCAGAAGAAGCACCGGCUAACUCCGUGCCAGCAGCCGCGGUAAUAC